RNAcentral lists this unclassified non-coding RNA (240 nucleotides) under uncultured fungus. RNAcentral describes it as "sequence contains ITS2". The record is from RNAcentral. Lineage: Eukaryota; Fungi.
AACGCACAUUGCGCCCCUUGGUAUUCCGGGGGGCAUGCCUGUUCGAGCGUCAUUACAACCCUCAAGCUCGGCUUGGUGUUGGGCGUCACCGUCUCCCGGUGUGCCUCAAAAUCAGUGGCGGCGCCGUCUGGCUCUAAGCGUAGUACACACUCUCGCUAUAGACGCCUGGCGGAGGCUGGCCAGCAACCCCAAUUCAUCAAGGUUGACCUCGGAUCAGGUAGGGAUACCCGCUGAACUUAA